RNAcentral lists this ribosomal RNA (304 nucleotides) under uncultured eukaryote. RNAcentral's name for it is "partial 18S ribosomal RNA". It matches the Rfam family "Eukaryotic small subunit ribosomal RNA", at positions 1470 to 1796 of the family's 1831-position model. The record is from RNAcentral.
CCCUUAGAUAUCCUAGGCUGCACGCGAGCUACAAUGGUAUAUAUAAAAGGUUGCUGCUCUGAGAAGACUGGCAAUACCCUGAUAUAUAUCGUAUUUGGAAUAGAUUUUUGUAAUUAUCAAUCUUGAACGAGGAAUUCCUAGUAAAAAUAUUUCAUCAUAAUGUUUUGAUUGUGUCCCUGCCCUUUGUACACACCGCCCGUCGCUCCUACCGAUUGAAUAUUCCGGUGAGAAGAUAGGAGAAAAAUCUUUUGAUUUUUUGAAUAUUUUUGAACCUUGAUAUUUAGAGGAAGGAGAANUUGUANCA